This 253-nucleotide ribosomal RNA is filed under the name uncultured bacterium. Its description in RNAcentral is "partial 16S ribosomal RNA". It matches the Rfam family "Bacterial small subunit ribosomal RNA", at positions 524 to 776 of the family's 1533-position model. The record is from RNAcentral.
UACGAAGGGGGCUAGCGUUGCUCGGAAUCACUGGGCGUAAAGCGCACGUAGGCGGACUCUUAAGUCGGUGGUGAAAUCCUGGAGCUCAACUCCAGAACUGCCUUCGAUACUGAGAGUCUCGAGUCCGGGAGAGGUGAGUGGAACUGCGAGUGUAGAGGUGAAAUUCGUAGAUAUUAGGAAGAACACCAGUGGCGAAGGCGGUUCACUGGUCCGGUACUGACGCUGAGGUGCGAAAGCGUGGGGAGCAAACAGG